Molecule: long non-coding RNA, 155 nt
Organism: Hippocampus comes (tiger tail seahorse)
Lineage: Eukaryota; Metazoa; Chordata; Actinopteri; Syngnathiformes; Syngnathidae
Exons: 2
Source: RefSeq, a predicted model, not a curated record
GUCUCACUGACAGGACUGUGAAAUGAAUGAACAAUGAUGUCUUGUCUUCUGUCAAUAAAGUGAAAUUGAAAUGAAAGACUACAUAGAACAAACCAAUCCUGUCUCAAUGAAAAGUGGCUGAAAUGAAGUGAGAGUGCAUGGAGCUGAGUUCUCAU